This 814-nucleotide ribosomal RNA is filed under the name uncultured bacterium. RNAcentral describes it as "bacterial SSU rRNA". It matches the Rfam family "Bacterial small subunit ribosomal RNA", at positions 57 to 917 of the family's 1533-position model. The record is from RNAcentral.
GCAAGUCGAACGAACUCUUCGGAGUUAGUGGCGGACGGGUGAAGUAACACGUGGGAACGUGCCUUUAGGUUCGGAAUAACUCAGGGAAACUUGUGCUAAUACCGAAUGUGCCCUUCGGGGGAAAGAUUUAUCGCCUUUAGAGCGGCCCGCGUCUGAUUAGCUAGUUGGUGAGGUAAAGGCUCACCAAGGCGACGAUCAGUAGCUGGUCUGAGAGGAUGAUCAGCCACAUUGGGACUGAGACACGGCCCAAACUCCUACGGGAGGCAGCAGUGGGGAAUCUUGCGCAAUGGGCGAAAGCCUGACGCAGCCAUGCCGCGUGAAUGAUGAAGGUCUUAGGAUUGUAAAAUUCUUUCACCGGGGACGAUAAUGACGGUACCCGGAGAAGAAGCCCCGGCUAACUUCGUGCCAGCAGCCGCGGUAAUACGAAGGGGGCUAGCGUUGCUCGGAAUUACUGGGCGUAAAGGGAGCGUAGGCGGACAUUUAAGUCAGGGGUGAAAUCCCGGGGCUCAACCUCGGAAUUGCCUUUGAUACUGGGUGUCUUGAGUAUGAGAGAGGUGUGUGGAACUCCGAGUGUAGAGGUGAAAUUCGUAGAUAUUCGGAAGAACACCAGUGGCGAAGGCGACACACUGGCUCAUUACUGACGCUGAGGCUCGAAAGCGUGGGGAGCAAACAGGAUUAGAUACCCUGGUAGUCCACGCCGUAAACGAUGAUUGCUAGUUGUCGGGAUGCAUGCAUUUCGGUGACGCAGCUAACGCAUUAAGCAAUCCGCCUGGGGAGUACGGUCGCAAGAUUAAAACUCAAAGGAAUUGACGGG